GACGAACGCUGCCUGCGUGCUUAACACAUGCAAGUCGAACGGAAAGGCCCUGCUUUUGUGGGGUGCUCGAGUGGCGAACGGGUGAGUAACACGUGAGUAACCUGCCCUUGACUUUGGGAUAACUUCAGGAAACUGGGGCUAAUACCGGAUAGGAGCUCCUGCUGCAUGGUGGGGGUUGGAAAGUUUCGGCGGUUGGGGAUGGACUCGCGGCUUAUCAGCUUGUUGGUGGGGUAGUGGCUUACCAAGGCUUUGACGGGUAGCCGGCCUGAGAGGGUGACCGGCCACAUUGGGACUGAGAUACGGCCCAGACUCCUACGGGAGGCAGCAGUGGGGAAUAUUGCACAAUGGGCGGAAGCCUGAUGCAGCAACGCCGCGUGCGGGAUGACGGCCUUCGGGUUGUAAACCGCUUUCGCCUGUGACGAAGCGUGAGUGACGGUAAUGGGUAAAGAAGCACCGGCUAACUACGUGCCAGCAGCCGCGGUGAUACGUAGGGUGCGAGCGUUGUCCGGAUUUAUUGGGCGUAAAGGGCUCGUAGGUGGUUGAUCGCGUCGGAAGUGUAAUCUUGGGGCUUAACCCUGAGCGUGCUUUCGAUACGGGUUGACUUGAGGAAGGUAGGGGAGAAUGGAAUUCCUGGUGGAGCGGUGGAAUGCGCAGAUAUCAGGAGGAACACCAGUGGCGAAGGCGGUUCUCUGGGCCUUUCCUGACGCUGAGGAGCGAAAGCGUGGGGAGCGAACAGGCUUAGAUACCCUGGUAGUCCACGCUGUAAACGGUGGGUACUAGGUGUGGGGUCCAUUCCACGGGUUCCGUGCCGUAGCUAACGCUUUAAGUACCCCGCCUGGGGAGUACGGCCGCAAGGCUAAAACUCAAAGGAAUUGACGGGGCCCCGCACAAGCGGCGGAGCAUGCGGAUUAAUUCGAUGCAACGCGUAGAACCUUACCUGGGUUUGACAUGGAUCGGGAGUGCUCAGAGAUGGGUGUGCCUCUUUUGGGGUCGGUUCACAGGUGGUGCAUGGCUGUCGUCAGCUCGUGUCGUGAGAUGUUGGGUUAAGUCCCGCAACGAGCGCAACCCUUGUUCACUGUUGCCAGCACGUUAUGGUGGGGACUCAGUGGAGACCGCCGGGGUCAACUCGGAGGAAGGUGGGGAUGACGUCAAGUCAUCAUGCCCCUUAUGUCCAGGGCUUCACGCAUGCUACAAUGGCUGGUACAGAGAGUGGCGAGCCUGUGAGGGUGAGCGAAUCUCGGAAAGCCGGUCUCAGUUCGGAUUGGGGUCUGCAACUCGACCUCAUGAAGUCGGAGUCGCUAGUAAUCGCAGAUCAGCAACGCUGCGGUGAAUACGUUCCCGGG
RNAcentral lists this ribosomal RNA (1343 nucleotides) under uncultured bacterium. RNAcentral's name for it is "16S ribosomal RNA". It matches the Rfam family "Bacterial small subunit ribosomal RNA", at positions 28 to 1378 of the family's 1533-position model. The record is from RNAcentral.